This 718-nucleotide ribosomal RNA is filed under the name Paragalactinia hypoleuca. RNAcentral's name for it is "Peziza hypoleuca partial large subunit ribosomal RNA". The record is from RNAcentral. Lineage: Eukaryota; Fungi; Ascomycota; Pezizomycetes; Pezizales; Pezizaceae.
GGAACAGGGUGUCAUAGAGGGUGAGAACCCCAGUUUACGGCGUUUGUCUUAUGCUUAUGUGAAUCUCUUUCGAUGAGUCGAGUUGUUUGGGAAUGCAGCUCUAAAUGGGUGGUAAAUUCCAUCUMAAGCUAAAUACUGGCAAGAGACCGAUAGCGCACAAGUAGAGUGAUCGAAAGAUGAAAAGAACUCUGAACAGAGAGUUAAAUAGUACGUGAAAUUGUUGAAAGGGAAGCACUUACUACCAGACACACUUGUAGCUGAUCAGCCUCCAAUUUUGGUGGUGCACUCAGUUGUAAGUGGGUCAGCAUCAGUUACAGCGGUGGGAAAAAGACUUUGGGAAUGUGGCUUCCUUCUGGAAGUGUUAUAGCCCAUUGUGUAAUGCUACCUGUAGUGACUGAGGACCGCGCUUCGGCAAGGAUGCUGGCAUAAUGGUCGUAAGUGACCCGUCUUGAAACACGGACCAAGGAGUCUAACAUCUAUGCAAGUGUUUGGGUGUAAAAACCCUUGCGCGAAAUGAAAGUAAAUGCAGAUGGGAAGCGGAAACGCCCCCCAUCGACCGAUCCUGAGGUUUCCGGAUGGAUUUGAGUAGGAGCAUAGCUGUUGGGACCCGAAAGAUGGUGAACUAUGCCUGAAUAGGGUGAAGCCAGAGGAAACUCUGGUGGAGGCUCGCAGCGGUUCUGACGUGCAAAUCGAUCGUCAAAUUUGGGUAUAGGGGCGA